This 648-nucleotide long non-coding RNA is filed under the name Pan troglodytes (chimpanzee). Its description in RNAcentral is "lincRNA". Lineage: Eukaryota; Metazoa; Chordata; Mammalia; Primates; Hominidae. The record is from RNAcentral.
GCCUAUGAUCUACAGUGCCCAUUCCAACUCAGAGAAUCUUUACAUCUGGAGAUCUAUAGCAGGGCUAUCCCUAGUGACAUGCGUGAAGAAGCUUGGAAAUGGUGCUGGGUAGGAGCUGAGUGUGCAGAAUGUGGAAAGGCAUUCUAAACCAAAGGAAGAACACGAGUAAAGAUGAUGAAGCAGGGAUAAGGCUAAAAUGAAAUUUGUGAUCUGAUCCACAUACAAGCACAGUGUAGUACAGCUGGAAUAUAGAGAAGAGCUUGAAGACUUAUGAGCAACUAUCCCGGUACUCUUGGAGGCUCUGCAACCACAGUUUGAGAAACUCCGCGUUCAAAGUUAAAAACUGUCACCUGAAUAGUUAAUAACAUCAAAGAUUGUGAAAGCAAGUAUAAAUAACACAGAGAUUAAAAUAAUGAGGCAGGAUCAGAAAUUGCUGACCUCCAUAACAGCAGACAAAAUUGGAAGCAAGAGUGAUUUUGGAGGAGUCACACUUAGAUGUUUCCCUUACCUAUUUCUGUUCUGGAAAUUUAAAAAUCUUACUUCUCAUGACAGUCCUACAUGAAAAAUUAAAAAUCACAAGGAUUCACGGAUGGAAAACUGAGACUCAGAGAAUGAUCACAUUCACAUCGUAAUAAAUCAGCAAUAGAG